UGCAGUCGAGCGAACAGAAGGGAGCUUGCUCCCGGAUGUUAGCGGCGGACGGGUGAGUAACACGUGGGUAACCUGCCUGUAAGACUGGGAUAACUCCGGGAAACCGGAGCUAAUACCGGAUAGUUCCUUGAACCGCAUGGUUCAAGGAUGAAAGACGGUUUCGGCUGUCACUUACAGAUGGACCCGCGGCGCAUUAGCUAGUUGGUGGGGUAAUGGCUCACCAAGGCGACGAUGCGUAGCCGACCUGAGAGGGUGAUCGGCCACACUGGGACUGAGACACGGCCCAGACUCCUACGGGAGGCAGCAGUAGGGAAUCUUCCGCAAUGGACGAAAGUCUGACGGAGCAACGCCGCGUGAGUGAUGAAGGUUUUCGGAUCGUAAAGCUCUGUUGUUAGGGAAGAACAAGUGCGAGAGUAACUGCUCGCACCUUGACGGUACCUAACCAGAAAGCCACGGCUAACUACGUGCCAGCAGCCGCGGUAAUACGUAGGUGGCAAGCGUUGUCCGGAAUUAUUGGGCGUAAAGGGCUCGCAGGCGGUUUCUUAAGUCUGAUGUGAAAGCCCCCGGCUCAACCGGGGAGGGUCAUUGGAAACUGGGAAACUUGAGUGCAGAAGAGGAGAGUGGAAUUCCACGUGUAGCGGUGAAAUGCGUAGAGAUGUGGAGGAACACCAGUGGCGAAGGCGACUCUCUGGUCUGUAACUGACGCUGAGGAGCGAAA
Molecule: ribosomal RNA, 718 nt
Filed under: Bacillus safensis
Lineage: Bacteria; Bacillati; Bacillota; Bacilli; Caryophanales; Bacillaceae
Description: bacterial SSU rRNA
Rfam family: Bacterial small subunit ribosomal RNA
Source: RNAcentral